UUGCAGUUAAAAAGCUCGUAGUUGGAUUUCGGAGUGGGCCAGUUGGUCCGCCGCAAGGUGUGUUACUGACUGGUUUGCUCUUCUGCGCAAAGACUGCGUGUGCUCUUUGUUGAGUGUGCGUAGGAUUUACGUCGUUUACUUUGAAAAAAUUAGAGUGUUCAAAGCAGGCUAUUGCUUGAAUACAUGAGCAUGGAAUAAUGGAAUAGGACUUUGGUCCCAUUUUGUUGGUUUCUAGGACCGAAGUAAUGAUUAAGAGGGACAAUUGGGGGCAUCCGUAUUUCGUUGUCAGAGGUGAAAUUCUUGGAUUUGCGAAAGACGAACAACUGCGAAAGCACUUGCCAAGAGUGUUUUCAUUAAUCAAGAACGAAAGUUAGAGGAUCGAAGACGAUCAGAUACCGUCCUAGUUCUAACCAUAAACGAUGUCGACUAGGGAUCAGCGGGCGUUAUCGUACGACCCCGUUGGCAC
RNAcentral lists this ribosomal RNA (466 nucleotides) under uncultured marine eukaryote. RNAcentral's name for it is "SSU rRNA". It matches the Rfam family "Eukaryotic small subunit ribosomal RNA", at positions 613 to 1086 of the family's 1831-position model. The record is from RNAcentral.